RNAcentral lists this signal recognition particle RNA (98 nucleotides) under Chlamydiota bacterium. Its description in RNAcentral is "Chlamydiae bacterium (freshwater metagenome) signal recognition particle sRNA small type". It matches the Rfam family "Bacterial small signal recognition particle RNA". From Rfam's summary of the family: The signal recognition particle (SRP) is a universally conserved ribonucleoprotein involved in the co-translational targeting of proteins to membranes. Archaeal SRP consists of a 7S RNA and homologues of the eukaryotic SRP19 and SRP54 proteins. The record is from RNAcentral. Lineage: Bacteria; Pseudomonadati; Chlamydiota.
ACCGGGGACCUCUAGGAACAAGACAGUUCGAACCAGGUCAGGAUCGGAAGGUAGCAGCCUUAAGGAUUAGGAUUGUGCUUUGAGCCAUCUCCGGUGUU